Molecule: long non-coding RNA, 2609 nt
Organism: Hydra vulgaris (swiftwater hydra)
Lineage: Eukaryota; Metazoa; Cnidaria; Hydrozoa; Anthoathecata; Hydridae
Source: RefSeq, a predicted model, not a curated record
CAGAGGCCUGGUCUCGAAAUUAAUUCGAUUUACGGAAAAAAGUAAAGAUUGCAACUUUGUUAUUAAAAAAAAAUCAACUAAACAUUACUGUCGAUGCUGUUAUAUGUUCUUAAUUCGUCAUGAUUAAAAAGUCCGGUUGUCAUACGACCAAAUCAUAUUUUAUUCAAAUUGAAGAUGCCGAAAGAAAGUGAAACUCUUACAAAAACUGAAUAAGUUUGGAUCUAAAUGUAAAACUUGCUUUAAAUCUUACAAAAUAAACUGUGGCAGUACAUCAACGAUAACCAGCCAUGUGAAAACCAAACAUGAAACAUCUUGGAAGGAACAUCUUUUAAAAACCAUCAAGGCACAACAAUAACAAUUGAAAGUAGUGUAUUAAAAAAUCAAAAACAUGAAUUAACUGAUCCAAAGCAAUUAAAAUUUAAAUUAGAUUUAACAAAGUUUGUCUGCAAUGGAGGUCUUUUGAAAUUUUGGAUGAUAAAGGAGCUCAAGAAUUUAUUGAUGAAGUAAAUAAUAAAUUUAUUGUCAAAUCUACAUCAACAAUUUAGACGUUAUAAAAUUCCAAUGUUGUAUAACAAGGUUAAGGAAGGGUUGCAACUAGAAUUUGUCAAAAGUUUUCCAAAGGUAACUGGAGUUAGUUUUACAACAGAUCUCUGGAAAAGUGGAAACCAUGAUUCCUUUUUGAGUCUUACAAUUCACUACAUUAAUUCAGAUUUUAAUUUAUUGAGUUUUUUCAUUGAUUGUACACCAUUUACGGGUAGACACACCAGGGUAGCAAUGGCUGUAAACCUGGAUUUUUUUAUUGCUAAUUUGAACUUAAAUAAAGAAGUACACAGAGCCUGCGUUAAUGACAAUGCCAGCUAAAAUAUUUUAGCUGCUAAAAUAAUGUUGAAAUCAACACAGAGUUUCUCUGCAACGAUGACAUAAUCCAGCUAGGUAUUCAUAAAGUGUUCAAAAAUUCAAUUGAACUUAUAAAAGCAUUGAAAAAGUGCACGGAUUUAGCAUCACACACACAUAGAAGUUAUUUCGCAACUGCUAAGCUUCAAAGUGAAUGCGAAAAACUUGAAAUUAAGGCCAGGAAAUUGAUUGUUCCGUGUACGACUCGAUGGAAUUUUAAGUACAUGUACAUAAAGUCUUCCAAGUCAAAAAAGCGAUCACAACACUUGCAUAAUCAAAUGAAGAAUUUGAAAGCUCAUGUCCUUCAGAUGAUCAAUGGAAUACACUAGAAUACAGCAUACCGUUUCUUGAAAAUAAUAUACAAUAUCUCAGUAGGUUUAUCAGCUAAUAAAAGACCAACAAUCUCAGAUGUAAUACCUGAAUUAUAUUCUUUGCACCAAGAACUACUUACCCUAUAAAAUCACAAAGUCAACGCAACAAGAAUAUUUAUAAAAAUACUGAUAAGUGAACUUCAGGAAAGAGAUUUUCUCAAUGGUUCUGAGCAGCUAAUUAAUUGUUAUGCUAAUUAAUAUUCAAUAAUAAUUAAUAAUAGAUCCGCGUUAGAAAGCCCUGCAUUUAAUUGAAUAUAAAAAAAUUAAUGAAAUAAAAGAAGCACUAUUGACCUAGGAAAAAAAAAAAAAAAGAAAAACUUCUAAUCAAAAGCAGUAAUGGAGACAAUGAAAGCAAUCAAAAUACUAACGUUAAUCACCACGAAAGGCUUAAAAUAAGACUAAAACUAAAUAUUUCAGCACGCAUCGCUUGGACGACAACUAAACUGGGUUUAGAAAUUGAUCAUUUUUUAGGAGCCAAAACAGCAGAGCAUUUAUUUUUUGAUUAAUACAUACGACGUGUAGUAACAUAUCAUAUUAGUUUACAUCAGUUGUAAAAUUAAAAAUAUUAACAUCAUGAUAGAUAUAUUUAUUUAGACGCAUGGUAUUUGUUAUACCACUGUAAGUUUUACGUGCAUUUCUAUUGGCGUGCAUAUUUGUUUAGGAUGUGCUGUUUUAGACACGUGGCUUGUGAUAUCCCACUGUAAAUUUGAAUUAGUAAAUUUAAAAAAGUUGUAUUUUAACUUGCAUUUCUUUUGGCAUACAUAUUUAUUUAGUUUAAUUAAGACUAAGUUUAUAUCACACUUUUUUAACUAUUAUUCUACUAUAUUUUAUAUUCACUAUUAUUUUAAAAUAAACUAUUUUAAACAUGUGACACUGUAUGACAUUGAAAAUGACACUGAACGUUUAAACAAGUUGUAAAAUUAAUUUUUUUAUAUUUUUACUUGAGUUUUUUUUGAUCUGCAUAUUUAAUCUUGUUUUGAUUUAUCAUAGUUUUUAAAAGGUUAGAGACCUUAUUUUUUGGUACUGAUAGGUAUUGAUGUAUGUGAAAUGUAUAAAGUCUUUCAGUUAUCAGACAAUGUCAAGGAGUUGACAGCAUGGUGUCCGAUUUAAAGUGCGAACCUGUGUACGAGUAACAACAGUAUUCGAAACCAAAACCUAUUUAAACCAACCAAACCAAAACUAGCGACCAAAAACAAAUAUCUUGGCGUUGGUUUAUUUUAAAUAUCUAUUAUAUACGUGUGUGUUUUAUAUAGAUGCACUAGCUUGUGUAUAGUGUAUUAAAAAUAUUUUAACUAUUUUUAUUGUAAUUUAAAGUAUAUUGGAUUAAACAUUAUAAAUAUUUUA